UACGGGGGGGGCGAGCGUUGUUCGGAAUUAUUGGGCGUAAAGGGCGCGUAGGCGGUGCGGUAAGUCUGAUGUGAAAACUCCAGGCUCAACUUGGAGAUUGCAUUAGGAACUGCCGUGCUAGAGUGUGGGAGAGGAAAGUGGAAUUCCCGGUGUAGCGGUGAAAUGCGUAGAUAUCGGGAGGAACAUCGGUGGCGAAGGCGGCUUUCUGGACCACAACUGACGCUGAGGCGCGAAAGCUAGGGGAGCAAACAGG
This 253-nucleotide ribosomal RNA is filed under the name uncultured bacterium. Its description in RNAcentral is "partial 16S ribosomal RNA". It matches the Rfam family "Bacterial small subunit ribosomal RNA", at positions 524 to 776 of the family's 1533-position model. The record is from RNAcentral.